Molecule: long non-coding RNA, 795 nt
Filed under: Centruroides sculpturatus (bark scorpion)
Lineage: Eukaryota; Metazoa; Arthropoda; Arachnida; Scorpiones; Buthidae
Description: uncharacterized LOC111616477, transcript variant X1
Source: RNAcentral
UGAAAAUUCCACUACAGAUAUCAAGAAAGAAGAAGUAAAAGAGAAUUAUGAUAUAAAACAAGGUAUAAAAUCAGAAUGUAAAGUUGUUUUGAAGAAAUUGAAAUUUGAAGUAAAGAGGGAAGAUUGUAAAGAAGUUGUUCAUCUCCCAGAUGAUAAUGAAAAGAUAAAUAUUAAAAGAGAACCAAUUCCUACUAACAACACAAACGGAUCCACUAUUUGGAGUCAUUCUGGUUAUAAAAUCGAAAGAGAUAUUAAGAAAGAAGAAAUAAAAGAGAAUUGUGAUGUAAAACAUGGUAUAAAAUCAGAAUGUAAACUUGAUUUUAAAAAAUUGAAGAUUGAAGUAAAGACUGAAGAUUAUAAAGAAGUUUUUCAUCUCCCAGAUGAUGAUGAAAACGUAUUGCCUGUCAACAAUGAAUAUUUCACUCCAAACGAAAAUUUUAACAAGAAUGAAACGAACAUUAAAAGUAAGUAACAUGUUUACUUAAUUCAAACUUUUUAUAUUAGUACUAUUCAGAGGGUAGCUGAAGAACUGCAUUCAAGAUUCAACUAUUAAACAUUUAACUGGGAUCAGAUAUUUCAGAAUUAUACGUAUCCUCCUAUAACAUAUUAAUAUAACUUCUGUAGUUAAUAAAAAUGCUUUAGGAUGAUCACAAUUACUAAAUAACAACUCAUGAGUUGUGAUUUAAUGAUUCAUGUUAUCUGCUUUGUUUAUGGAUCCGCUAAAAUAAUAAAGAAAAUGUAUUGAAUCGAAGUGAACGAGGGCCAUAUAACUAAUUUAAUAACAUAAGUAAGUGA